GACUCCCUGCCGUGUUCGCCAGUGCCAUAUAUUCCUUGAACCAUUUUUGUGCAUAGGCAGCAGGAUAUUGUUCGAUAGGUGUGAGCGUCGCUUGUCCGAUGAACCCGAAAUUGAACUGACUGCAGCCGAACUGAACCAUCAGGUUCAGGAUGCCGGCAUAGCGACUCUGGCGGGGCCUCA
RNAcentral lists this non-coding RNA (180 nucleotides) under Cognatundibacterium luofuense. Its description in RNAcentral is "Undibacterium luofuense 6S / SsrS RNA". It matches the Rfam family "6S / SsrS RNA". From Rfam's summary of the family: E. coli 6S RNA was the first non coding RNA to be sequenced, but its function was unknown until recently. It consists of 184 nucleotides that fold into an extended hairpin structure with a large single-stranded internal bulge. The 6S RNA specifically associates with RNA polymerase holoenzyme containing the sigma70 specificity factor. Lineage: Bacteria; Pseudomonadati; Pseudomonadota; Betaproteobacteria; Burkholderiales; Oxalobacteraceae. The record is from Rfam by way of RNAcentral.